Molecule: long non-coding RNA, 961 nt
Filed under: Manihot esculenta (cassava)
Lineage: Eukaryota; Viridiplantae; Streptophyta; Magnoliopsida; Malpighiales; Euphorbiaceae
Description: long non-coding RNA (MESC_LNC002486)
Source: RNAcentral
AUCUCCUCAAGUACGACUCUACACUUGGUAUCUUCGAAGCUGAUGUUCAGCCUGCUGAGAAUGGCAUCUCUGUCGACGGCAAGGUCAUCAAGGUUGUCUCCGACCGCAACCCCGUCAACCUUCCUUGGAAGUAAGCUAUGAGAGUCUGUCUCGCGUCUCUUUCCUUUUCCUUUCUUAUUCUGCUUGGGAUUGCAUUUACUCUGAAUAUAUGAACUUAAUUAUUCGCGGUGGUAUUCAGGGACUUGGGAAUCGACCUGGUGAUUGAAGGCACCGGAGUUUUCGUGGAUAGAGACGGUGCUGGAAAACACAUUCAGGCAGGCGCCAAGAAGGUGCUCAUCACAGCCCCUGGCAAGGGCGAUAUCCCUACCUACGUCGUCGGAGUUAAUGCUGAUGCCUACAAUCCUGAUGAGCCUAUCAUCAGCAAUGCUUCUUGCACUACCAACUGUCUUGCUCCCUUUGUCAAGGUCCUCGACCAGAAGUUUGGUAAUCAAAUGUCUCUCUUCUUCUAUCCCUUUUCUUUAAGAAUGAGCCCCUGAGAAAAUAUGAAUGAACCAAUGAAAAUUGAAUGACAACUUGCGGGCUGGUUUCAGGCAUCAUCAAGGGAACCAUGACUACAACUCACUCAUACACCGGUGACCAGAGGCUACUGGACGCCAGCCACCGUGACCUCAGACGGGCACGAGCUGCAGCUCUAAACAUUGUUCCAACUUCAACUGGUGCAGCAAAGGCAGUUGCCCUUGUCCUUCCAACUCUGAAAGGCAAACUGAACGGCAUCGCUCUGCGUGUACCGACACCAAACGUCUCGGUUGUGGACCUGGUGGUGCAGGUAUCAAAAAAGACAUUUGCAGAAGAGGUAAACGCUGCAUUCAGAGAAAGUGCUGAGAAGGAGCUGAAGGGUAUCCUGUCAGUGUGUGACGAGCCUCUUGUUUCCGUCGACUUCAGGUGCUCAGACGUAUCAUCA